Long non-coding RNA from Ruditapes philippinarum (Manila clam), 217 nucleotides. RefSeq lists it as uncharacterized. The transcript has 2 exons. Lineage: Eukaryota; Metazoa; Mollusca; Bivalvia; Venerida; Veneridae. The record is from RefSeq and is a predicted model, not a curated record.
CUAGGAACUUCAAACUUUGUAUGAUGAUUGGUAGUGACCAGCAGAUGACCCCUAUUGAGUUUUGGGUCAAGGGGUCAAAGGUUAAGGUCAUGACCAGUAGAUACUUGAUAACCCUUAUUAAUUGUUUGAUCACUGGGUCAGAAGUCAUGCAUAAUAACCUUAUCACAUGACUAAUUGGCUGCUGAUAGGGGGCAUACAUGUUUUACAAACAUAUCUU